AAAUUGAAGAGUUUGAUCAUGGCUCAGAUUGAACGCUGGCGGCAGGCCUAACACAUGCAAGUCGAACGGUAACAGGAAGCAGCUUGCUGCUUUGCUGACGAGUGGCGGACGGGUGAGUAAUGUCUGGGAAACUGCCUGAUGGAGGGGGAUAACUACUGGAAACGGUAGCUAAUACCGCAUAACGUCGCAAGACCAAAGAGGGGGACCUUCGGGCCUCUUGCCAUCGGAUGUGCCCAGAUGGGAUUAGCUUGUUGGUGGGGUAACGGCUCACCAAGGCGACGAUCCCUAGCUGGUCUGAGAGGAUGACCAGCCACACUGGAACUGAGACACGGUCCAGACUCCUACGGGAGGCAGCAGUGGGGAAUAUUGCACAAUGGGCGCAAGCCUGAUGCAGCCAUGCCGCGUGUAUGAAGAAGGCCUUCGGGUUGUAAAGUACUUUCAGCGGGGAGGAAGGGAGUAAAGUUAAUACCUUUGCUCAUUGACGUUACCCGCAGAAGAAGCACCGGCUAACUCCGUGCCAGCAGCCGCGGUAAUACGGAGGGUGCAAGCGUUAAUCGGAAUUACUGGGCGUAAAGCGCACGCAGGCGGUUUGUUAAGUCAGAUGUGAAAUCCCCGGGCUCAACCUGGGAACUGCAUCUGAUACUGGCAAGCUUGAGUCUCGUAGAGGGGGGUAGAAUUCCAGGUGUAGCGGUGAAAUGCGUAGAGAUCUGGAGGAAUACCGGUGGCGAAGGCGGCCCCCUGGACGAAGACUGACGCUCAGGUGCGAAAGCGUGGGGAGCAAACAGGAUUAGAUACCCUGGUAGUCCACGCCGUAAACGAUGUCGACUUGGAGGUUGUGCCCUUGAGGCGUGGCUUCCGGAGCUAACGCGUUAAGUCGACCGCCUGGGGAGUACGGCCGCAAGGUUAAAACUCAAAUGAAUUGACGGGGGCCCGCACAAGCGGUGGAGCAUGUGGUUUAAUUCGAUGCAACGCGAAGAACCUUACCUGGUCUUGACAUCCACGGAAGUUUUCAGAGAUGAGAAUGUGCCUUCGGGAACUGUGAGACAGGUGCUGCAUGGCUGUCGUCAGCUCGUGUUGUGAAAUGUUGGGUUAAGUCCCGCAACGAGCGCAACCCUUAUCCUUUGUUGCCAGCGGUCCGGCCGGGAACUCAAAGGAGACUGCCAGUGAUAAACUGGAGGAAGGUGGGGAUGACGUCAAGUCAUCAUGGCCCUUACGACCAGGGCUACACACGUGCUACAAUGGCGCAUACAAAGAGAAGCGACCUCGCGAGAGCAAGCGGACCUCAUAAAGUGCGUCGUAGUCCGGAUUGGAGUCUGCAACUCGACUCCAUGAAGUCGGAAUCGCUAGUAAUCGUGGAUCAGAAUGCCACGGUGAAUACGUUCCCGGGCCUUGUACACACCGCCCGUCACACCAUGGGAGUGGGUUGCAAAAGAAGUAGGUAGCUUAACCUUCGGGAGGGCGCUUACCACUUUGUGAUUCAUGACUGGGGUGAAGUCGUAACAAGGUAACCGUAGGGGAACCUGCGGUUGGAUCACCUCCUUACCUUAAAGAAGC
RNAcentral lists this ribosomal RNA (1554 nucleotides) under Escherichia coli. RNAcentral's name for it is "bacterial SSU rRNA". It matches the Rfam family "Bacterial small subunit ribosomal RNA". The record is from RNAcentral. Lineage: Bacteria; Pseudomonadati; Pseudomonadota; Gammaproteobacteria; Enterobacterales; Enterobacteriaceae.